This is a long non-coding RNA of Amphiprion ocellaris (clown anemonefish), 434 nucleotides long. RefSeq lists it as uncharacterized. Lineage: Eukaryota; Metazoa; Chordata; Actinopteri; Pomacentridae. The transcript is spliced from 2 exons. The record is from RefSeq and is a predicted model, not a curated record.
UACACGUGCGACACAAACGCAACAUAACGGAGGCGAUAGUACACCUGCUGCUCCGUCUGUGGCUUUCUGUCAGAUUCAAAGUAAUAGAAGAGUCGGAGAAAGCUGAGAGCGGCGAGGCGAAACACUCAGGAGACACACAGGAGAGUUUGGGAGGCGAUGCAGCAGUAUCAAGUCGAAGACAAGAGGAUAUGAACGAGACGACAUAUGAGGAUGCUCUCUGAUGAGACUUCAUGGGAUUUACCUGAAGCAGCAGCACAUGAGCCUGCAGUGGCACAAGGUGUAGAGGAGGAGGGCAGAGAUGUACAGGAUGCACUGAUGCAGGUCGUGUCAUGCAGAGGUUAAAAGUUAUUCUUCUCGUUAGACUUCUGUUUCUCUGUCUCCGGACCACUAUUGUUUUCUUUAAUGCAAUUCUGACAAUAAACUUUUGUACCUUU